RNAcentral lists this ribosomal RNA (492 nucleotides) under uncultured bacterium. Its description in RNAcentral is "partial 16S ribosomal RNA". It matches the Rfam family "Bacterial small subunit ribosomal RNA", at positions 29 to 507 of the family's 1533-position model. The record is from RNAcentral.
AGUGAACGCUGGCGGUAGGCCUAACACAUGCAAGUCGAACGGCAGCACAGUAAGAGCUUGCUCUUACGGGUGGCGAGUGGCGGACGGGUGAGGAAUACAUCGGAAUCUACUUUUUCGUGGGGGAUAACGUAGGGAAACUUACGCUAAUACCGCAUACGACCUACGGGUGAAAGCAGGGGAUCUUCGGACCUUGCGCGAUUGAAUGAGCCGAUGUCGGAUUAGCUAGUUGGCGGGGUAAAGGCCCACCAAGGUGACGAUCCGUAGCUGGUCUGAGAGGAUGAUCAGCCACACUGGAACUGAGACACGGUCCAGACUACUACGGGAGGCAGCAGUGGGGAAUAUUGGACAAUGGGCGCAAGCCUGAUCCAGCCAUACCGCGUGGGUGAAGAAGGCCUUCGGGUUGUAAAGCCCUUUUGUUGGGAAAGAAAAGCAGCAGGUUAAUACCCCGCUGUUCUGACGGUACCCAAAGAAUAAGCACCGGCUAACUUCGUG